CAGACAAUGUUCACGGCAUCAUUGGUUUUGGAGGUGGAAGGGGGAUUUAGACCUCUUCCUGGCAUCUUAUUUUGAAGAGGACAAAACUAAGUCCCUAACAGGAUAAAUGACUUGCCCAAGGUCAUACAGAGGCAUCUUGACUAUGAUUUGUGAAUGUCCAAGGAUUCUCAAGUAAGGAGCAUGUGGCUUACAUGUGGUCUGAGAUGCUAAGGUUCACCAUGAGUUACUACUCCCUCCCUCUUUAGUCCCUGAAUUUGUUGAAUUAUGGCUCAGGGGUUCUUCAUUUUUUUGGUGUGUCAUGGACACCUAUGGCAGU
Vombatus ursinus (common wombat) is the source of this 316-nucleotide long non-coding RNA. RefSeq lists it as uncharacterized. The transcript is spliced from 3 exons. NCBI's taxonomy places the organism in Eukaryota, Metazoa, Chordata, Mammalia, Diprotodontia, Vombatidae. The record is from RefSeq and is a predicted model, not a curated record.